Molecule: long non-coding RNA, 488 nt
Filed under: Lynx canadensis (Canada lynx)
Lineage: Eukaryota; Metazoa; Chordata; Mammalia; Carnivora; Felidae
Description: lncRNA (ENSLCNG00005007353.1)
Source: RNAcentral
AUAGAGAGCUAUUGCUUUGAAAAUAUUUAGAGGCAAAGCUUGCUAGAAAGACGUUAGGCCCUUAUGUCACCCUUUCCCUCUCCGCUAAGCCAGAGCUUUUACCGGUCGCCGUGGGGCCGGAUAGCUCCUAGACUGCUGAGUGAUUACCGGAGAUAGGGCGUCCGUGCGGGAAGCGUCUUUGCAUCUGUCUGGAACCUCUCGGAUGCUUCCACACGCUUUGUCCUUAUCUUGUAAACUUCUUAAGUCUCUGGUCAUAAGAAUUCUGCCAGCAGUAACCAGGGAGCUUCCUUCCUUGUCCACGGAACAUCAGGAUGUUUAAUGACCCGGAAUGAGGCGCUGCCUUUUCUCUCCAGUGUACCUUUGUAAUCCGGGAGCAACCAUGGCAAGAUGUAUUAGGAUCUGAGAAGCAGCAUCGAGAAGAGAUAAGAAAGAAGUCCCCCACAGGAAAGGCACACCGUGCGCAGUAAGCAGUUUCCCUUACUGAUGUC